RNAcentral lists this ribosomal RNA (253 nucleotides) under uncultured bacterium. RNAcentral's name for it is "partial 16S ribosomal RNA". It matches the Rfam family "Bacterial small subunit ribosomal RNA", at positions 524 to 776 of the family's 1533-position model. The record is from RNAcentral.
GACAGAGGUGCCAAGCGUUAGGCGGAAUCACUGGGCUUAAAGCGUGUGUAGGCGGGCGGGCAAGUACCUUGUGAAAUCCCACGGCUCAACCGUGGAACGGCUGGGUAUACUGCCUGUCUUGAGCCAACUAGGGGCGAGCGGAACAGACGGUGGAGCGGUGAAAUGCGUAGAUAUCGUCUGGAACGCCGAAGGUGAAAACAGCUCGCUGGGGUUGUGCUGACGCUGAGACACGAAAGCCAGGGGAGCGAGCGGG